This 87-nucleotide transfer RNA is filed under the name Dickeya poaceiphila. Its description in RNAcentral is "Dickeya sp. NCPPB 569 tRNA-Leu". It matches the Rfam family "tRNA". Rfam says of the family: Transfer RNA (tRNA) molecules are approximately 80 nucleotides in length. RNAcentral also lists the same sequence under 1 other name. Lineage: Bacteria; Pseudomonadati; Pseudomonadota; Gammaproteobacteria; Enterobacterales; Pectobacteriaceae. The record is from RNAcentral.
GCCCAGAUGGUGAAAUCGGUAGACACAAGGGAUUUAAAAUCCCUCGGCGUUCGCGCUGUGCGGGUUCAAGUCCCGCUCUGGGCACCA